RNAcentral lists this ribosomal RNA (254 nucleotides) under uncultured bacterium. RNAcentral's name for it is "partial 16S ribosomal RNA". It matches the Rfam family "Bacterial small subunit ribosomal RNA", at positions 524 to 774 of the family's 1533-position model. The record is from RNAcentral.
UACGAAGGGGGCUAGCGUUGUUCGGAUUUACUGGGCGUAAAGCGCACGUAGGCGGAUUGUUAAGUCGGGGGUGAAAUCCUGGAGCUCAACUCCAGAACUGCCCUUCGAUACUGGCAAUCUCGAGUCCGGAAGAGGUAAGUGGAACUCCUAGUGUAGAGGUGGAAUUCGUAGAUAUUAGGAAGAACACCAGUGGCGAAGGCGGCUUACUGGUCCGGUACUGACGCUGAGGUGCGAAAGCGUGGGGGAGGCAAACA